This 223-nucleotide long non-coding RNA is filed under the name Ananas comosus (pineapple). Its description in RNAcentral is "long non-coding RNA (ACOM_LNC011479)". The record is from RNAcentral. Lineage: Eukaryota; Viridiplantae; Streptophyta; Magnoliopsida; Poales; Bromeliaceae.
GUGCGGGUAAUUUCAUAUGGAAAAAUAUUUUGCAUGCUAUCUGCGACUGAAUGGUCGGUGCGCGGAAAAAAUUUUCUAUGCACGAAACUGUACAUACAUGCGCACACAAAUGGUACCUUAAAAAAUAAGUAAAAUGCGUCAUUUCUAAGAUAGAAAUAUUAUACUAAAUUUGAAAUAUCAAAUUUAUUGGGAUUUUAGAAUAACCAAGUGUCACACAUCCAUA